Molecule: ribosomal RNA, 449 nt
Filed under: uncultured bacterium
Lineage: Bacteria
Description: partial 16S ribosomal RNA
Rfam family: Bacterial small subunit ribosomal RNA
Source: RNAcentral
AAUGAACGCCGGCGGCAGGCCUAACACAUGCAAGUCGAACGGAUCCUUCGGGAUUAGUGGCGGACGGGUGAGUAACGCGUGGGAACAUACCCUUUGGUACGGAAUAGCCUCGGGAAACUGGGAGUAAUACCGUAUGUGGUCGAGAGACGAAAGAUUUAUCGCCAAAGGAUUGGCCCGCGUUGGAUUAGGUAGUUGGUGGGGUAAUGGCCUACCAAGCCGACGAUCCAUAGCUGGUUUGAGAGGAUGAUCAGCCACACUGGGACUGAGACACGGCACAGACUCCUACGGGAGGCAGCAGUGGGGAAUCUUAGACAAUGGGGGAAACCCUGAUCUAGCCAUGCCGCGUGAUCGAUGAAGGCCUUAGGGUUGUAAAGAUCUUUCAGGUGGGAAGAUAAUGACUGUACCACCAGAAGAAGCCCCGGCUAACUCCGUGCCAGCCGCCGCAGUAA